This 98-nucleotide non-coding RNA is filed under the name Acholeplasma brassicae. Its description in RNAcentral is "Purine riboswitch aptamer". It matches the Rfam family "Purine riboswitch aptamer". Rfam says of the family: Riboswitches are metabolite binding domains within certain messenger RNAs that serve as precision sensors for their corresponding targets. Allosteric rearrangement of mRNA structure is mediated by ligand binding, and this results in modulation of gene expression. The record is from Rfam by way of RNAcentral. RNAcentral also lists the same sequence under 1 other name. Lineage: Bacteria; Bacillati; Mycoplasmatota; Mollicutes; Acholeplasmatales; Acholeplasmataceae.
AUAUAAUAGGUUCAAUAUAUGCGUAUAUCGCUUGAAUAUGGCAAGCAGUCUCUACCCUAAACCAUGAAUUUAGGACUACGCAAAAGAACCAAACGUAU